GGAGCGAUAGUUCAGUUGGUUAGAAUACCGGCCUGUCACGCCGGGGGUCGCGGGUUCGAGUCCCGUCCGCUCCGCCA
RNAcentral lists this transfer RNA (77 nucleotides) under Vibrio parahaemolyticus. RNAcentral's name for it is "tRNA-Asp". It matches the Rfam family "tRNA". Rfam says of the family: Transfer RNA (tRNA) molecules are approximately 80 nucleotides in length. Their secondary structure includes four short double-helical elements and three loops (D, anti-codon, and T loops). Further hydrogen bonds mediate the characteristic L-shaped molecular structure. tRNAs have two regions of fundamental functional importance: the anti-codon, which is responsible for specific mRNA codon recognition, and the 3' end, to which the tRNAs corresponding amino acid is attached (by aminoacyl-tRNA synthetases). tRNAs cope with the degeneracy of the genetic code in two manners: having more than one tRNA (with a specific anti-codon) for a particular amino acid; and 'wobble' base-pairing, i.e. permitting non-standard base-pairing at the 3rd anti-codon position. The record is from RNAcentral. Lineage: Bacteria; Pseudomonadati; Pseudomonadota; Gammaproteobacteria; Vibrionales; Vibrionaceae.